This is a long non-coding RNA of Meriones unguiculatus (Mongolian gerbil), 3102 nucleotides long. RefSeq lists it as uncharacterized. The record is from RefSeq and is a predicted model, not a curated record. Lineage: Eukaryota; Metazoa; Chordata; Mammalia; Rodentia; Muridae. The transcript is spliced from 4 exons.
UGACAGGGCGGGCGGAGGCGGCCGGGGCGGGCUGGGGGGCGCACGCCCCGCCUCGGGGUGCUGGACAGCUCCGCGCACGCGGCUCUGAUCGGGUCCCGUUAGCGCUGAACCUUGGCCCAGCGGUUAGGGCUGGCACUGCGCCCAAGGUCCCCGGCAGAGCCUGGCCCCUUGAUCCCAAGAUCUCUUCUCUCUACCGAAGCCGGGACGCCAGGCGACUGUGCCAGGGAAGAGAGGGAGACCGAGGCUCAAUAGAAGGUCGGGUGGCACGGAAAGGGCUCCUGGGGACCAAGACAAUGAGUUGGAGGCUCUAGACAGAAGCCUGGCCUCUUCCUAAUGCCAUACAUUCCUGGGUGGUUUGAUUUGAGCAUCCCCUCCUGCACUCCCUCGGCCCUCCUCAUUCACCUCAUCCUGUCUCCAAAGCGGCUCACUUGUGAAGGGGACACCGUGAGGGGACACUGGCGAGAACCCCAGAAGUCCUCUGGAGAGCCACUUUCGUCCCUGGCCGGCUCCGUAACCCCCUCAUCUUCCAAGGAACUGCGAUGGAGCCUCGGUCUUCCGGAGCAGAGUUGGGGGUCACCGUAUGAGGCACCCGGGCCAUGUUCAUGUGCAAGAACACCCAUAGCCAGGAAGGGGCUAUCCGCUGACUCUGAGGUUCACGGGCCGGCCAGGAGGAGCUCCCUGGAUAUAGAGAGGAACCGGAGAGAUGGUUCAGAACUUGCUGCUUUUGUGGAGAACCAGGUUCGGAGGAUCUGAUGCCCUCUUCUGGCCUCCUUGGGCACUGCAUGCAUAUGGUGCACAUACAUGCAGGCAGGCAAACACUCAUACCCACAAACUAAAAAGGAGCGCAUCUUUUCAAAAGUUAACUUACUGGAGAAGCGUCUCAGUAGUUGAGAGCACUGUUGAUCUUCCAGAAGACCCAAAUUCGGUUCCCAGCAUCCAUAUCAAGUGGCUUACAACCAUCUGUAACUCCAGCUCCAGGGCUCUAAUGCCUCUGGCCUUCCCAAGCACCUCCAUUCACAGGCACGUGUCCACAUGCACACACAUACACAUGAUUAAAAAUAAUAAGAAUAAAUUUUAAAGAGUCGGUCACAUUACUAGCAACCCCCAACACCAUCUAUCCCCAGAACUUUCCCCAUCUCUUUUCACUUCUCUGAAGCAGUCAAACCUUAACCCACACUUCCCUUUAGGCCCUGGCAAGCACCAUCUCUGUCUCAUCUAACUGGAAUCAUAUAGUAUCUGUUCCUCUGGGGCUGGCCCAAUUGCUGUUGAAAAUGCUCAUAAGCAUAUUAUUUGCAGCAAUGGACUCGCAGUCAGCAGUUCCGCCUUCCCAUACAAAGAUCUGCUCCUCUGCUUUUAGCUUCUGCCCUGCACAGAAGGCAGGGCAGUCUCGGACCUAACCGGCCCUAGAGGCUUCCUUUCCAGACAGAAACCCCGCCUUUCAGUGUUGUGAACAUCGCCAGGUUGUUCCGACAGGAUGGGGUUGUUCCAGCUUCCUCCCUGGACGCCCAAAGCAUUCUGACCUUCUUGGUGACGGCAGGAUUGGCUUGUCUUCGUUUAACGGCAGCACCGCUCAGCGAUUCUUAAAGCCCAGUUGCAGACCGAUGCAAUGAAACAAGCAUCUCGAUAAAGCAAAUCACGCAGAGUUUUUGGCACGAGGCUGCACCAACAUCCAUUGGCAAGGACGAUGGAUGUUUAAAACCCAGUGUGCGUGCCUCAAUCAAACCUCACUUUAUUGCCAGGGACCGUAUGAGCUGCUGGGAACGAGGCCCUAAUAAGCUUCCUCUGUGCAGGGUUGUGCAGACCUUCAACCUGGGGAGAGCACGGCUCUCUACGGAGCACAUAUUUCCAUUUGCCUUUCUCAGUUGUGUAGCCCUACCUGGGAUGAUUUACUUGGAGGGAAACAAGCCUUCAGAAAUAGGGAGAGAGCAGAGCACAGUGGCACGCACCUGCCUUUAACCCCAGUAUUUGGGAGGCCGAAGCAGGUGGAUCUGUGUGAGUCUGAGGCCAGCCUGGUCUACAGAGAGAGUUCCCUGGCAGCCUGGUCUGUGCAGCAGGACGGUGCCUCGCAAACAAAGAAAGCAGCACCAAACCCCCACAGGAACAGAAAGACAUUGCCUCUCUGGGUGUCUCGGGACCGCACGCUUGUGCCACAUGCUUGUCAACACACAACUGACUCCCUCAGCAAAGGGCUUCCAGGCUAUUUCAUUGUUUUUCAAUUAGUGAAUCAUUAAUACCUUAGCAGCCAAAAUAAUUGUGCCAAAAAGCUUCUUGGUGUCCUUCCAGCUCCUAAAUCUAAAAUAACAACCAAAAAAAAAAGUAAGGUAACCCUCACUGCAGACACAGAUUCCCAUUCCCUGAAGCAGCUAAUGCCAAGCCCUUUAGCAUUGUCCCUGGCACUGAGUGCAGACUGAGGUCAUCACGUCUACCCAGCAAAACUGGACUUCCUUCCUCCACGCUUGAAUCCUGUACCUUUCACGAAAGAAGUUAUGUUUGAAAACAAAACAAAACAACAGAAAACAAGGGAGUAAGCCAGGCAUGGUGGCUCACUCCAUCAACCCCAGCUUCUGGAGGCAGGAGCAGGGAGAUCUCGUGUGAGUGCAAAACCAGCCUGUCCUACACAACAGUCAGGCCUUCACAGAGAGACCUCGUUUCAAAGGAAAUGAAGAGAGGGUGAUUGUGCCUGUUGUGUGACCAUUUCCUCCAAGAUGGUAACAUUGCAUUCUACAGACAAGUUCCUUAAGUAGAGAGGUAAACAACUCAAAUGACUUCAGGAAGUCCCUGAAGCUGACCAAAUUCACUACCCUUGCCCCCUGUCCCCCUUACCAAGAGUUAACAAGCCAAGCUACAAAGAAGACUCUAAGACCAGAUCAGCUGCCGGGAAGAAACAAAAACCAGUCCGACAGCCUGGAAGAGUGUCAGACCAACGGAGCCACCUGGAAAGGGCACUCCCCAACCUGAUCUGCCUGCAGGCUGUGCAGUGAGCUCCAGGUUCCCAGCUUGGGGUGGGCUCUGAUGAUGCAGAUGUUUUUUAAGUCAUUUCUGCUCCUGUAAGUAACCCCUCACCCAUAUUCCCGCAAGUAACUCCAAUAAAACUCAUUUUGU